Molecule: ribosomal RNA, 465 nt
Filed under: uncultured bacterium
Lineage: Bacteria
Description: partial 16S ribosomal RNA
Rfam family: Bacterial small subunit ribosomal RNA
Source: RNAcentral
CCUACGGGAGGCAGCAGUGGGGAAUAUUGCGCAAUGGGCGAAAGCCUGACGCAGCGACGCCGCGUGAGGGAUGAAGGUCUUCGGAUCGUAAACCUCUGUCAGCAGGGAAGAACGGUCACUGUGCUAAUCAGCAGUGAAUUGACGGUACCUGCAAAGGAAGCACCGGCUGAACCCGUGCCAGCAGCCGCGGUAAUACGGAGGGUGCGAGCGUUAAUCGGAAUUACUGGGCGUAAAGCGCUCGUAGGCGGUAUGUCAAGUCAAGGGUGAAAUCCCCGCGCUCAACGUGGGAACUGCCUUUGAAACUGGCAGACUGGAGAGUGUGGGAGGAUAGUGGAAUGCCAGGUGUAGGAGUGAAAUCCGUAGAUAUCUGGAGGAACAUCAGUGGCGAAGGCGACUAUCUGGCACAUAACUGACGCUGAGGAGCGAAAGCGUGGGUAGCAAACAGGAUUAGAUACCCGGGUAGUC